This 502-nucleotide ribosomal RNA is filed under the name uncultured euryarchaeote. RNAcentral describes it as "bacterial SSU rRNA". It matches the Rfam family "Archaeal small subunit ribosomal RNA", at positions 363 to 863 of the family's 1478-position model. Lineage: Archaea; Methanobacteriati; Methanobacteriota. The record is from RNAcentral.
AAGCACGAUGAGGGAAUCCCAAGUGCUUGCUCGUUAGAGUAAGCUGUUUCUAUGUUUAAAACGCAUGGAGAGUAAGGGCUGGGUAAGACGGGUGCCAGCCGCCGCGGUAAUACCUGCAGCUCUAGUGGUGACCGCUAUUAUUGGGCCUAAAACGUCCGUAGCCGGUUUAAUAAAUGCCUGGGUAAAUCGUGUAGCUUAACUAUACGAAUUCCGGGUAGACUGUUAAACUUGAGACCGGGAGAAGUUAGAGGUACUCCUGGGGUAGAGGUGAAAUUCUGUAAUCCUGGGGGGACCACCAGUGGCGAAGGCGUCUAGCUAGAACGGGUCUGACGGUGAGGGACGAAGCCCUGGGGCGCAAACGGGAUUAGAUACCCCGGUAGUCCAGGGUGUAAACGCUGCUUGCUUGAUGUUAGUCUGGCUCCGAGCCAGAUUAGUGUCGGAGAGAAGUUGUUAAGCAAGCUGCCUGGGAAGUACGGCCGCAAGCACGAUGAAGCACGAUGUU